Molecule: unclassified non-coding RNA, 258 nt
Filed under: Hevea brasiliensis (rubber tree)
Lineage: Eukaryota; Viridiplantae; Streptophyta; Magnoliopsida; Malpighiales; Euphorbiaceae
Source: RNAcentral
UCGCUUUAUCCACUCUAAACGAUUGUUGGUUAAAUCCUCAUAAAUGUGUAAGGAAUGCUGAUAAGAACAUGUUCACAAUAUUAUUUUUUGGUUUGCUGCAGAAGAGGAGGAUGACAAAUAAAAAUUUUUAUGCAUUUUUAUGAAUUUUAAUUGACAGAUAGUUAACACCGUCAAUUUUGGGUCUCUUUAUACCUUUUUUUAAUUAUUAAGGGUUUAAAUGGCCCAAAAAAAUUGACAAGGGCUUAGGUGACUAUUGGG